Non-coding RNA from Peromyscus maniculatus bairdii (prairie deer mouse), 162 nucleotides. The record is from RefSeq and is a predicted model, not a curated record. Lineage: Eukaryota; Metazoa; Chordata; Mammalia; Rodentia; Cricetidae.
CAUAAAAUUUCAUAGAGGAGAGGGGGUUAGUACGAGUCCAUCCUUGACUGGUCCAGUUUUUCCCGGGCCUGGACUUUAUCUUAUUCUAGCUUAUCUGUUUGCCCUGUCAGGAGAUUUACAACUCCUCUCCGGGGUCUGGUCAUGUUAUCUCUGGAGAGGGGC